RNAcentral lists this long non-coding RNA (565 nucleotides) under Marmota monax (woodchuck). The record is from RNAcentral. Lineage: Eukaryota; Metazoa; Chordata; Mammalia; Rodentia; Sciuridae.
ACAAGGCUUGACUAGAUGGAGUGACCCACUUGGCAUUUUAAUAAACCUUGAGUGAGUCACCAAGGUUUAAAUACUUAGGAGACUUUUCUUAAGCUUUUGAUUCCCAGCGUCUCUGGACAGCAGAGGAUCUGUGUCCCCACGAUGCUGGCAUGCUCCCCAUCGGAGCCCCCAUUAUGUCUUCCCAUCAUUUUCCCAACACCGAAAUCAGUGUACAAAUCUUGUACACUGGCAGUCAUGAACCUGGAGCAAAAGAGGAAACGUAGACCAUAGGUAGAUCACCAUUUUUCUUACUGUAAAAUUAAGAGGAAAAUGAACUUGUGGAUCUAAAAAGCAGAGCUAAGCAUUUAAUGAACUAAUAUGAGAGCCCUUUCUUCCUGUGGAGGAGAAGAUCAUCCAAACAAAGAACGUCUGCAUAGAAAAACUAUGUCCUAAAGCACUACAAUCAAGCCAGCCGUGAGUGGUGCACAGGAGGGAUGGGAUCUGAGGACUUAAUGGACUGAAGAAAUGGCUGUUGUUUGUUUUUGAAUGAGAAUAAAAUAAGCGCACUGCUGUGAAAUGCGGCUGU